CAAUUUGACGAAUACAACGUUAACAAUCCACGACCACGUCCAACUCGGAGCUCGGCCAGAAACCGACUGAGACGUCUGAGACAGAUGGAUGUAGUAGCUGUACAAAAUUGCAUUGACCUCUAAAAUUGGCAUCGCAAGCAUUGGCUACUACAGCUCAUGAUACAAAACCAUACCAGAUAAGGCAGAUGACUAUGGAAAAGGGAAAGGGCCCGGAAGAAACUUUGCACUCCCUGUAAAAUUUGCUUCGGAAUCCCGUCAAUUGGUCAAAACACAAGGACGGCUGCCAACACAUCUAUGAAAGAACGGACACAGGUAUGGUCAUUGCCAACGAGGCAGUCAUACUGUCUCUGUCUAUUUGACCUAAAAAUUCUUUCCUUUUUCUUUCUUUCGAUCCGCCCGGUUGUGCUUCGACUACUGCGUGAAUUCGUGAUGCUCAGUUUCACACGAAACGGCCUACUGAAGUUUUCCCAUCUACCUAGUUUCAUUGGACAUUGCUGCGUUGCGAAAUUGCUGGUUACAUUCCCAGCUUACUCCGUCGUCGAAUGACGAAUAGCAAAGUUUAAUAACAUGCAUGUGCACAUUUGUUUUCCUCUUUUACGACCAAGAGACGAAGAGUCAUAUAGGUCUUCUACAAUGUAGUAAGCAGUAAGAAGUGACCAAUCAAAAACUGAACAAUGGGAACUCUUCUUUCUGCUUACUGCUAUUGUAGACGGCUCUAUAGGCAGCGACUAGAGCUACACCUAUAUAAUAGGAAAGAUUAGAUACAGACCAAAUGAGAAAGAUUAGAUACUCAGCAAACUGUUUUUCGGAAAGCACGCUUUGGGAUAUGGUACUUUUGCAUAUUGUUCGCUUGUUUCGCAUAUGAUGUAUAACUUCGCGAAGAAUUCACUCAAUGUCUUCAAUAACAGAAAUUCCAGAAAUGAGAAACAAAAAAUUGAGUUUCUGGAUGGCAAAAUAUGCUAGCCGAUGAACGAAAUGCAAAUUAAACGAAAUAUAAAAAUAUGUCCCUCAAAGAAAUGUUAAAAAUUAUUUUACGCACGUUCGACGCGCAGUUACCAUUGGAUACUGAUAAGAACACUCGCACAAGCGAUGAUAAGAACGAUCAAAGUGCAGAGAGACUUCAAGAGCAUCUGAAGAACCGAUUAAAGUCCACGUUUCCACGCAGUGUUUGAGGAUACCCGUUAUGUUUCUUUUAUAUCACUAUCUUUUGUAUUUUGAGACUAUCACUCUGGCAAGUCACUUGUAUUGUCCGAGAAAAGAACGCACAACUAUCUUCUUGCUAUCUUCUUGCUUGAAAGCUCCGAUAGCACUUAUCGUUCAUCCGCAGUUUGUAUCGACAUUUGUGUUACACGAGAUUCACUGUUACUCGAAUAAUAUCAAUGCAUUUAGAAAAAAUAUUUUCAAUUGCAAUGAGUCAUAUAAUCGGUAAUAAUGAUGAAACAGUUUUCCCGUCAUUCGCGAUAAGAUAGACGCAAAUCAUCUUUUCUGUCUGAGGAAGGUGUUUGUGCAGCACUAUUAUAAUCUUGUACUACUAUAUCUAGCUUAUAUUACUGUAAUCAGCAUUUAUUACAAUUAUGCAACAUGUGAAAUUCUUUUAUGCAACUGAUUAUAAUACAAUAAAUACGCGCUAUUCCAUA
Ooceraea biroi (clonal raider ant) is the source of this 1637-nucleotide long non-coding RNA. RefSeq lists it as uncharacterized. The record is from RefSeq and is a predicted model, not a curated record. NCBI's taxonomy places the organism in Eukaryota, Metazoa, Arthropoda, Insecta, Hymenoptera, Formicidae.